RNAcentral lists this ribosomal RNA (253 nucleotides) under uncultured bacterium. RNAcentral's name for it is "partial 16S ribosomal RNA". It matches the Rfam family "Bacterial small subunit ribosomal RNA", at positions 524 to 776 of the family's 1533-position model. The record is from RNAcentral.
UACGUAGGGUGCGAGCGUUGUCCGGAAUUAUUGGGCGUAAAGAGCUCGUAGGCGGUUUGUCGCGUCUGCUGUGAAAACUCGGGGCUUAACCCCGGGCCUGCAGUGGGUACGGGCAGACUAGAGUGCGGUAGGGGAGACUGGAAUUCCUGGUGUAGCGGUGAAAUGCGUAGAGAUGUGGAGGAACACCAAUGGCGAAGGCAGCCUUCUGGGCCAACACUGACGCUCAUGCACGAAAGCGUGGGGAGCAAACAGG